Mauremys mutica (yellowpond turtle) is the source of this 1232-nucleotide long non-coding RNA. RefSeq lists it as uncharacterized. The record is from RefSeq and is a predicted model, not a curated record. The transcript has 4 exons. Lineage: Eukaryota; Metazoa; Chordata; Testudines; Geoemydidae.
UUUUGCAUAGCUCUUUAACAUUCCAGGCACCAGGGACAGAAUCUGGCUCCAGUGAUGCCAUACAUUUACACUACAUUACCAUCGCUAUGCCAGAGUUCCAAUGGAAUAGGAAUGCUUCUAAUGGUGUUCUACCACCAUUAUUACCAGUAUCCAGCCAUCAGUGAAAGUGUUAAGCAGCCAGAGAGAAAUCAGCCAAAAAAACCUCACCUGUUUGUAGAAUUAAUUCAGUGUUCAUGGGAGACUGAAGUCCUUGAUCCACAGAACAGGCACACGUGGGCCAGCUCAGGCCAUCCAUCCUUCCUUCAACUGACCUACCAGUAUGCCUCAAGAGUACAGCUGAGUGUGCAGCAUGUGUUUCCCACUGAUACCAAGUUACACCAAAUGGGGGCACAUUUUGCAUGGGUUGAUUUAAUAGGCAGAAGUUGAUUCAACGCUAGGAAAGUGAAAAAUACAUAAAGCAACAAAAUCUCAUCUGGAAGGAUACCUGAGAAAGAUCAACAUUCAUGUGUCAAUAAUUCACAUUUGCCAGAGGGUAGAAUAUUGAGAGAAAUAUAAGAAUAUAUAAACUACUCUUUAAUCUCAGAAGCAAGGCACACAAGGAGCUUGGUUCAGGUUGACACUUCACUCCAGAACAAUUACCAUGCAAAAGCAUAGCACUGUCUGGAAAGAGAGCAGCCAGCCUUGAGGAAGUGGUACGGAGAUGCUCAUUUGGACACAAGAUAUAAAAGGGUUACAGACAAAACAAGAACCUUUUUUUUUUUUUCAUCCAAAGCCCCAGUUGCAACAGUGAAUGAGUUUGGAAAACAUACAAGGGAUGUGAGAGUCAAACUAACAUGUCUCUCUCCAGAGAUACUGAGGUGUGCUCCGUGUUGGGUGAGGGUGGGAUGCCUGGUGCUAUAACCAGUUAGGCAUAGCAAAGAAACAUGAAAAGUGUAACAGUGCUGUGAGUAAAAAGAGGAGGAUGGAUGACCUAAGACACCUGAUCCAACAGGGAAGUGAUAAGUGCCUGGAAAUCAGGCUGGAUCUCAGACAUGCUGGUCAAAAGGAAGAACCAGAAAGAAGCUUUCUGGAAAUGCAAGUUGCGGUGUUUUUGCAUUCUAACGAUCCCAUCUGGAGGUUAGCUAUUAGAACUGAAUGAAAAAUGCCAUUUUUCGUGAGAGAGAUACGGAAUUGUUUUUGUUUAAAAUUUUCUGCAAUUUUUUUUUGUGAGGGAUGGCAAUGAAGAAACAGAG